AGAGACGCUGGGCGGCGUGGAUUAGGCAUGCAAGUCGAACGGUAUCAUCCUUUCGGGGGUGAGAGAGUGGCGAACUGGUGAGUAACACGUAGGUUAUCUACCCUCAAGACGGGGACAACCCAGGGAAACUUGGGCUAAUACCGGAUGUGAGCAACUUUUAGUUGUUUGAAAGGUGGCGUAAGCUGUCGCUUGGGGAUGAGCCUGCGUCCUAUUAGUUAGUUGGUGAGGUAACGGCUCACCUAGGCAAUGAUAGGUAGGCGGCCUUAACGGGUGGUCGCCCACACUGGGAUUGAGAUACGGCCCAGACUCCUACGGGAGGCAGCAGUCGAGAAUAGUCUACAAUGGUCGGAAGACUGAUAGUGCGACGCCGCGUGAACGAUGAAUCCCUUCGGGGUGUAAAGUUCUUUUAUAUGUGAGCAGUGCUUCUUAUAUUAACAGUAUGGGGAGAGAGAUAUUAGCAUAUGAAUAAGCAACGGCUAACUCCGUG
This 487-nucleotide ribosomal RNA is filed under the name uncultured bacterium. RNAcentral describes it as "bacterial SSU rRNA". It matches the Rfam family "Bacterial small subunit ribosomal RNA", at positions 38 to 507 of the family's 1533-position model. The record is from RNAcentral.